RNAcentral lists this long non-coding RNA (208 nucleotides) under Malus domestica (apple). RNAcentral's name for it is "long non-coding RNA (MDOM_LNC010993)". Lineage: Eukaryota; Viridiplantae; Streptophyta; Magnoliopsida; Rosales; Rosaceae. The record is from RNAcentral.
ACACACACACACACACACACUGCACACACACACACACUGCACACACUGCAUAGACACACACACACUGCAUACACACUCACACACAAACUGCACACACACACACAAACUGCAUACACACUCACACACACACUGCACACACACACACACUGCAUACACACACACACACUCACACUCACACACUAAACACAGUCACACACACACACACACU